GGGUGGUGUCAGGUGUGAUGAAGGAGAUUUUUCUGGGUGAAAAUAUCCUUAACCUGUUGGAGCAAACCAAUCAUGUUUGUAAUUCCUAAGUAGACAUCACAUAGAAAGUCCUUUGGUGUUGAUGAUUCUUCUUGAAAGUUCAAUCCUUCCAUGAAAUUCCUCCACUUGAUGGCGGUCUCAUAUACCAUUGCCUGGAGUUGCAGCAUCACUGCCAUUGCCUGUUGGGACUGGCCAUGCGGCAUACAUAUACCUCUAUUAUUUUGGUUUUUGGUUUAAACUAAGCAUAGUGUAGACAUGUUGUUUUGUUGUCUACACAACUGCCUCUUGCUACAAGGAGUGGCUAGUGUUAAGUGUGACGAAGGAGAUUUUUCUGGGUGAAAAUUUUUUUAACCUGUUGGAGCAAACCAAUCAUGUUUGUAAAUUCCUAAGUAAACGUCAUAUAGAAAGUCCUUGGGCGUUGAUGGUUCUUCUUGAAAGUUCAAUCCUUCCAGGAAGUUCCUCCACCUGAUGACGGUCUCAUAUUCCAUCGUCUGAAGCAGCAGCACCGCUGCCGUUACCUUUCAGGACUGGCCAUGGGGCACACAUACACUGCUGUUCUUUUGUUUUUUUAUUUUAAAAAACUAAACUAAGCAUAGAGUAGAGAAUUGUUUCAUUUCUACUCAACUGGUUCUUGCCAAAAGGAGUGGCCAGUGUCAAGUGUGACGAAGGAGAAAAUCUCCUUAACUUGUUGGAGCAAACCAAUCAUGUUUGUAAAUUCCUAAGUAAACGUCACAUAGAAAGUCCUUGGGUGUUGAUGGUUCUUCUAGAAAGUUUAAUCCUUUCAGGAAGUUCCUCCACCUGAUGGCAGUCUCAUAUUCCAUCGCCUGGAGCAGCAGCAUCGCUGCUGUUACCUUUCAGGACUGGCCAUGACACAUACAUAUGCUGCUAAUUUUUUUUUUAAAAAAUAAACUAACAUAGAGUAGGCAUAUUGUUUUGUUUUCUACCCAACCGCUUCUUGCUACAAGGAGUGGGUAGUGUCAAGUGUGACAAAGGAGAUUUUUCUGGGUGAAAUCUCUUUUAACUUGUUGGAGCAAACCAAUCAUGUUUGUAAAUUCCUAAGUAAAUGUCAUAUAGAAAGUCCUUGGGUGUUGAUGGUUCUUCUUGAAAGUUCAAUCCUUCCAGGAAGUUCCUCCACCUGAUGGCGGUCUCAUAUUCCAUCGCCUGGAGCAGCAGCAUUGCUGCCGUUACCUUUCAGGACUGGCCAUGAGACACACAUACACUGCUAUUAUAUUAUUAUUAUUAUUUUUAAAAGGAUUAAACUAAGCAUAGAGGAGACAAUGGUUUCGUUUCUACCCAACUGCUUGCUACAAGGAGUGGCUGGUGUCAAGUGCGACGGAGGAGAUUUUUCUGGGUGAAAAUCUCCUUAACUUGUUGGAGCAAACCAAUCAUGUUUGUAAAUUCCUAAGACAACGUCACAUAGAAAGUCCUUGGGUGUUGAUGGUUCUUCUAGAAAGUUCAAUCCUUUCAGAAAGUUCCUCCACCUGAUGGCGGUCUCAUAUUCCAUCGCCUGGAGCAGCAGCAUCGCUGCCUUUACCUUUCAGGACUGGCCAUGAGACAUACAUACACUGCUAUUCUUUUACUUUAAAAAAAAAAACUAACAUAGAUUCGGCAUAUUGUUUUGUUUUCUACCCAACUGCUUCUUGCUACAAGGAGUGGGUAGUGUCAAGUGUGACGAAGGAGAUUUUUCUGGGUGAAAAUCUCUUUAACUUGUUGGAGCAAACCAAUCAUGUUUGUAAAUUCCUAAGUAAACGUCAUAUAGAAAGUCCUUGGGUGUUGAUGGCUUUUCUUGAAAGUUCAAUCCUUCCAGGAAGUUCCUCCACCUGAUGACGGUCUCAUAUUCCAUCGCCUGGAGCAGCAGCAUCGCUGCCAUUACCUUUCGGGACUGGCCAUGAGACAGACAUGCACUUUUGCUCUUUUGUUUAUUAUUUAAACUUAUCAUCACUAGAUGCAUGUUGUUUCCCACCCAGCUUGUAUAUACAUGUGGGUUUUAUGGGAACUUGAAAAGCAAUUUAAGUGGGAUCAUGUGGUGUUUUCAAGUUUUCACCAUGGUAUCUUUGACUUCUAAAAUCUUGCUUAUAGCCUGCAGUAAAAGCAUGUCUUGUAAUUCAUUACAUUCUGCAAUUGUCCCCUU
This 2170-nucleotide long non-coding RNA is filed under the name Elaeis guineensis (African oil palm). Its description in RNAcentral is "long non-coding RNA (EGUI_LNC029157)". Lineage: Eukaryota; Viridiplantae; Streptophyta; Magnoliopsida; Arecales; Arecaceae. The record is from RNAcentral.